UGGGGAAUUUUGGACAAUGGGGGCAACCCUGAUCCAGCGACGCCGCGUGGAGGACGAAGGUCUUCGGAUUGUAAACUCCUUUUGACAGGGAUGAAUGACGCCGUGAAUAACGGCGAGUGACAGUACUUGUUGAAUAAGCCACGGCUAACUACGUGCCAGCAGCCGCGGUAAUACGUAGGUGGCAAGCGAUACUCGGAAUCACUAGGCGUAAAGCGCAGGUAGGCGGUUUGAUAAGUCUUUUGUGAAAGCUCCCGGCUUAACUGGGAGAGGUCAAGGGAAACUGUCAGGCUAGAGUUUGGUAGGGGAUACUGGAAUUCCUGGUGUAGCGGUGAAAUGCGUAGAUAUCAGGAGGAAUACCUAUGGCGAAAGCAGGUAUCUGGGCCACAACUGACGCUGAGCUGCGAAAGCUAGGGGAGCAAACAGGAUUAGAUACCCCCGUAGUCC
This 444-nucleotide ribosomal RNA is filed under the name uncultured bacterium. RNAcentral describes it as "bacterial SSU rRNA". It matches the Rfam family "Bacterial small subunit ribosomal RNA", at positions 355 to 796 of the family's 1533-position model. The record is from RNAcentral.